Molecule: ribosomal RNA, 255 nt
Filed under: uncultured bacterium
Lineage: Bacteria
Description: partial 16S ribosomal RNA
Rfam family: Bacterial small subunit ribosomal RNA
Source: RNAcentral
UACGGAGGGUGCAAGCGUUAUCCGGAUUCACUGGGUUUAAAGGGUGCGUAGGUGGGCAGGUAAGUCAGUGGUGAAAUCUCCGGGCUUAACCCGGAAACUGCCAUUGAUACUAUCUGUCUUGAAUACCGUGGAGGUGAGCGGAAUAUGUCAUGUAGCGGUGAAAUGCUUAGAUAUGAACAUAGAACACCAAUUGCGAAGGCAGCUCACUACACGAAUAUUGACACUGAGGCACGAAAGCGUGGGGAUCAAACAGGA